This 589-nucleotide long non-coding RNA is filed under the name Citrus maxima (pomelo). Its description in RNAcentral is "long non-coding RNA (CMAX_LNC003361)". Lineage: Eukaryota; Viridiplantae; Streptophyta; Magnoliopsida; Sapindales; Rutaceae. The record is from RNAcentral.
AGAUUAUAGACACCUCAGUUUAACAAAAUCCACCCGUCAACAAAUAAUUUUUUUUCUCAAAACCCCCUCCCUUAAGAAGUCUGUCUUCUAUUUCUUUUUUUUCCCUCUCUUUUCUCUUUCACAACUCUGCUAUGCUCUGCUCUCACUCUUGUUUCUUUUUUUUUUUUCCUUCUUUUAAAGCCACUCACAGUGAUGGUGGAGCGUCGCGAAGGCGUGUCGUGCACUGGUGUCAUGCGCCACAAAGGCAUAUCGCAAAGACAGUAGAGCUGGAGGCGUCGCCGUGAUGUAAUGCGAUAGUGGCUGUGUGGAGGCAGAUCGUGUGGUUGUAGAGCUGGUGUUGUACGUCAGUGGUGGUGUUGAGCUGAGAUUUGUGGAGUGGCGGUGUGGAGAUGCAGGGAGAGCCACAAUAGUGAAAAGGAGAAAUCGAAAACGAAAGCAAACUUUUUUCAUUUACAAUCCCGCAUAAACCCGACUCUCACACGAGUUUGAUAUAUGCGGGUUUGACCGCAUUAUAAGCAUUUUUGACUACAUUGUAAUACGACGGGGAAUACUUGCCAAACAUGAUAUUGUAUUAUUUUAAUACAAUGAG